RNAcentral lists this ribosomal RNA (250 nucleotides) under uncultured bacterium. Its description in RNAcentral is "partial 16S ribosomal RNA". It matches the Rfam family "Bacterial small subunit ribosomal RNA", at positions 355 to 619 of the family's 1533-position model. The record is from RNAcentral.
UUAGGAAUAUUGCACAAUGGGCGAAAGCCUGAUGCAGCGACGCCGCGUGAGUGAAGAAGGCCUUCGGGUUGUAAAGCUCUUUGAGCGGGGAAAACAAAAAUGAUUGUACCCGCAGAACAAGCACCGGCUAACUCCGUGCCAGCAGCCGCGGUAAUACGGAGGGUGCAAGCGUUACUCGGAAUUACUGGGCGUAAAGCGCGUGUAGGUGGUUUUGUAAGUCUGGUGUGAAAUCCCGGGGCUCAACCCCGGA